UACGUAGGGGGCUAGCGUUGUCCGGAUUUAUUGGGCGUAAAGAGCGUGUAGGCGGCCAGGUAGGUCUGCUGUGAAAACUCGAGGCUCAACCUCGAGACGUCGGCGGAAACCAUCUGGCUAGAGUCCGGAAGAGGAGAGUGGAAUUCCUGGUGUAGCGGUGAAAUGCGCAGAUAUCAGGAAGAACACCAAUGGCGAAAGCAGCUCUCUGGGACGGUACUGACGCUGAGACGCGAAAGCGUGGGGAGCGAACAGG
RNAcentral lists this ribosomal RNA (253 nucleotides) under uncultured bacterium. RNAcentral describes it as "partial 16S ribosomal RNA". It matches the Rfam family "Bacterial small subunit ribosomal RNA", at positions 524 to 776 of the family's 1533-position model. The record is from RNAcentral.